Molecule: ribosomal RNA, 695 nt
Filed under: Bacillus cereus
Lineage: Bacteria; Bacillati; Bacillota; Bacilli; Caryophanales; Bacillaceae
Description: bacterial SSU rRNA
Rfam family: Bacterial small subunit ribosomal RNA
Source: RNAcentral
UUAAGAGCUUGCUCUUAUGAAGUUAGCGGCGGACGGGUGAGUAACACGUGGGUAACCUGCCCAUAAGACUGGGAUAACUCCGGGAAACCGGGGCUAAUACCGGAUAACAUUUUGAACCGCAUGGUUCGAAAUUGAAAGGCGGCUUCGGCUGUCACUUAUGGAUGGACCCGCGUCGCAUUAGCUAGUUGGUGAGGUAACGGCUCACCAAGGCAACGAUGCGUAGCCGACCUGAGAGGGUGAUCGGCCACACUGGGACUGAGACACGGCCCAGACUCCUACGGGAGGCAGCAGUAGGGAAUCUUCCGCAAUGGACGAAAGUCUGACGGAGCAACGCCGCGUGAGUGAUGAAGGCUUUCGGGUCGUAAAACUCUGUUGUUAGGGAAGAACAAGUGCUAGUUGAAUAAGCUGGCACCUUGACGGUACCUAACCAGAAAGCCACGGCUAACUACGUGCCAGCAGCCGCGGUAAUACGUAGGUGGCAAGCGUUAUCCGGAAUUAUUGGGCGUAAAGCGCGCGCAGGUGGUUUCUUAAGUCUGAUGUGAAAGCCCACGGCUCAACCGUGGAGGGUCAUUGGAAACUGGGAGACUUGAGUGCAGAAGAGGAAAGUGGAAUUCCAUGUGUAGCGGUGAAAUGCGUAGAGAUAUGGAGGAACACCAGUGGCGAAGGCGACUUUCUGGUCUGUAACUGACACUGAG